Molecule: ribosomal RNA, 253 nt
Filed under: uncultured Petrimonas sp.
Lineage: Bacteria; Pseudomonadati; Bacteroidota; Bacteroidia; Bacteroidales; Dysgonomonadaceae
Description: partial 16S ribosomal RNA
Rfam family: Bacterial small subunit ribosomal RNA
Source: RNAcentral
UACGGAGGAUGCGAGCGUUAUCCGGAUUUAUUGGGUUUAAAGGGUGCGUAGGCGGAAGAUUAAGUCGGCGGUGAAAUUUUGCAGCUCAACUGUAAAAGUGCCUUCGAUACUGGCUUUCUUGAGUGUGGAUGAAGUAGGCGGAAUUUGUGGUGUAGCGGUGAAAUGCUUAGAUAUCACGAGGAACUCCGAUUGCGCAGGCAGCUUACUAAACCACUACUGACGCUCAUGCACGAAGGCGUGGGGAUCAAACAGG